AGGUUAUAGUUUAAAACAUAAAAUUGCAAAUUUUAAAAAGAUGUGAUCUAUCUCUAUUAUUUU
RNAcentral lists this transfer RNA (63 nucleotides) under Endomyzostoma sp. MZ-2009. Its description in RNAcentral is "tRNA-Cys". Lineage: Eukaryota; Metazoa; Annelida; Myzostomida; Endomyzostomatidae. The record is from RNAcentral.